This 305-nucleotide ribosomal RNA is filed under the name uncultured bacterium. RNAcentral's name for it is "bacterial SSU rRNA". It matches the Rfam family "Bacterial small subunit ribosomal RNA", at positions 337 to 639 of the family's 1533-position model. The record is from RNAcentral.
ACCUACGGGGGGCAGCAGUGAGGAAUAUUGGUCAAUGGGAGAGAUCCUGAACCAGCCAAGCCGCGUGAGGGAAGACGGCCCUAUGGGUUGUAAACCUCUUUUGUCGGAGAACAAAACCCGGGACGUGUCCCGGACUGCGUGUAUCCGAAGAAAAAGCAUCGGCUAACUCCGUGCCAGCAGCCGCGGUAAUACGGAGGAUCCAAGCGUUAUCGGGAUUUAUUGGGUUUAAAGGGUGCGUAGGCGGUUUGAUAAGUUAGAGGUGAAAUACCGGUGCUCAACACCGGAACUGCCUCUAAUACUGUUGA